GGGCAAACCACAAGUCCAGGGGGAUGACUUUGGCGCUGUUGGCAGAGUCUGAGGUUCCUCGCCUGUCUCUAUGCAUACGUCUACACACUUACUUAAACUAUAACUAACAGACCUAACUUAGCUGCAGCCCCCGGAGUUGCAAAGAAGGAGCAUUUACUUGGCAUACUCUUGUCUCAAGAGUCUGGCCCUUGUUGAGUCACCAGCAUCCUUGGACUAAAACACUCUCCCUGUCUGCUCUGAAAGUGCUUCACAGAGAUCUUCUCCAAGAGGGGUAGUGGCUGCUGGG
RNAcentral lists this long non-coding RNA (286 nucleotides) under Ictidomys tridecemlineatus (thirteen-lined ground squirrel). RNAcentral describes it as "lncRNA (ENSSTOG00000029435.1)". Lineage: Eukaryota; Metazoa; Chordata; Mammalia; Rodentia; Sciuridae. The record is from RNAcentral.